Molecule: RNA transcript, 4898 nt
Organism: Lolium perenne
Lineage: Eukaryota; Viridiplantae; Streptophyta; Magnoliopsida; Poales; Poaceae
Source: RefSeq, a predicted model, not a curated record
CCUUCGAAGUCGACAUCCUCCUCCGCCCUCUCCCCGAAACCCUUGUUCCUUUCCUCUCCCCGCGUCCAUGCCGGCGCCCUCCCUCUCCAAGCUCGCAUCACAGCACCGUACGAAACCAGCGGCUUGGAGGAGCGCGCGAGCCAUGGCAGGCCGAUGCGGAGAUCGGUCACUGGAGCUCGCCCCGCAAACUCGUCUCCUCGCAUCGCCGGGAGGAGCAGCAGGUUCAGCGCCGGCUGAUGCGGGAGAGAGGCUGCCUCCUUCCUUCCUACUAUCAACCCUCUUCCAACUUCUGCACAAGAAACACGGAUGCCCGUCGCCGCACCUCGCGAGAGGAGGCAGUAGGACGCCGGCGGCAGCAGUCUGCUCCCUCCUGGUGGCUGGCGGGGGAGAGAAAAGAGGCGACAUAGGAAGUAGGAGCAAUCAGAAGAGCUAGAGCGGCAGCGGUAUGAAGAGGUGAUGUGGAAGAUUGCCUCCUUGAAGCCCCUCUCCAUCAUCCUCUAGCUUGAGGACGCCAAUGUCAUUCUUGACCAGUACAAUCUAGGCAAGGGCAGUCAUAAUCUCCUCCCCUCUCUCAUCCCCUACCCAUAAUUUCUCAUAUUGCUUUCUGUUGAUGUUUUGUAUCUAUGCAUAUAAGGUGUUUGAGGAAAAUCCAAACAUGCUGCAGUACAAGCUAGAACAUGCAUGUGGCUAUUCACUGGCGUUUUGUGUGCGUGCAGGUUAUAGAUCGGAGGAACGCGCGUCCGUAGUCACUAGCACCGUGAAAUUUUCCACAACGGGGUGCGGGCUUCUUUAUCCAACUGUCCUGUAAUGAUGAAUUUUUUUGUUGUUGUUAGGAUCACGGUCUUGGAAGCAUACACAUCUGGAGGUGGAAAUGAAGCACAAACUCCUCAAGGUACUCCGCUCACACUGUUUUAAAUUACGCGUUCAUACUGGAUUAGAACUUAGUCUUAUGCCAACAUUUGGGGUAUUGUGUUUUGGAUUUUCUGAGUUUCGUGCCGACAUUUGGGGGUGAUUCUUCCUGGUGAUUUCCUAAAAUAAAUACGUACUUAAUUAGAGAGUUCAGUCAUGCCUGCUUGUUGGACGGUUUCGUGGGGGAGGAUAGGCCGGUCGGUUGCUGCAUGUUUUCUGUCUCCUCUACGGAUUACCGAACAUGUGUUAUUCACACUUCCAGGUUGAAAAUUUGGUGUGGAGUGCUAAUGCGAUCACUGGUGUUGUAAUCCACAGCUUAUCAAUGCACUAUCUAUUUGGACUUUGGUAUUGCUUUUGCCGAAUUGAUGUUUGAUGUUAUCUCAAUUUUGAUUACUGCAUAAAGAUUUCAUGUUUUUUUCCUCUCUAUUCUUUGUAUGCAUAUGAUGUCUCUCCUUGCAAUGCAAGAUUGUCAAUACCUAUAAUAGGUUUUAUUUUUUAUGUAAGCUAUUUUUUGUGAUAACUCCAAUGUUUAUCUCUGCUCCAGCUUUAGUUGUUUCUGACGCAGCCCAAUUUAAGCUCGUUUUUUUUUUAUAGCAGCACAUAAUUUUGCUUCUGAAUGUUAGGCAUGAAUGAGUGUCAUCUAAAUAGAAUAGCACUGCUACAAGGUCUUAUCAGGCAUCAUGCUCUACUCUCUUUCAAUGCAAGUCUGCCCGUAGUUUUAUAACAUCUGAAGAUUUGCCAAAGAAGUGUCAUACCAAGUUUUAUCAUAUCUGAAGAUUUGAAAACACGAUAGAAAAUAGUAUGCUAUAAGUGGUCAGAUACUUAACUGGGCGUCAAAAUUUGAAAACACGAUAGAAAAUAGUAUGCUAUAAUUGGUAGUGUUACAGUUUAACAAACAAUAUUGGAGCACAUGAAAAUAGGUCAUCUUUGUCUGCCAUUCACGUCAUAGCAGUUGCCUUUUUUUGCUUUACUUAAAUAACUGGGGAGGGUCAUUUAUUUUUCAAAACAAAUAAUCAGGGAGAUGCGAUGUGAUGACUACCUUUUAUCAUUCUUGUCUAUGAAAAGACUAUUGUGGUUGCAUUAUUUUUUUGGUCCUCAUAUAUCUGCAUUGUCUUGAAUUUAUCAUCUUUCAGGCAAAGAAAUUGAUUUUCUUUAGAACCAAAGAGAGAGAGAGAGAGAGAGAGAGAGAGAGAGAGAGAUGGGCCAACAGAGAUAGAGAAAUUGAUAGAGAGAGAGAGAUUCAGCUAGAGGGAUGCUUCGCCAAGACCUCCAUCGACAGCAGUCUCUCCCCUGCAUGCCUUCCCCAAGCUGCGCGCUCCACCACCCAACGGGCAACGGCUAGCGCGUCUACCAGGCCAACGAGAUCAUUGCCGCCUCCAACAACAAAAUCAACCGUAGAUCAUCAGGUGUAUGUCUGCACGCAACCCUCGAGUGCUAAGUUUCGUAAUUUUACAUGUGCAACCUGGUGGAUUGGUGAAUCUAUACUGAAAUUCUUGGCCAAUAGUGGCUUGCUGUACUACAAUACUGUACCGAAUGACAAGCUGUAGCGACCUAGAGCUGGAUUGGUCUUCAAGCACCUGCAAGAGCCAAUGGGGUGACCACCUACCUGUUUACACUCAAUUGGUGAUUCCAAAGGGAGAGGAUUUGGUUGCUUCAUGUUCUUUGUACUAAAUAGCACAUAAACUUCAGAUUAUCUACAUUGUCUAUAAUAUUUUCUUCAAAGAUUUAGAAAAGCAAUAGCUUAUUGUUAUCAUCCGGCUACUUGGCAUCAGAUGGUGCAAAAUUUUCAAAGAUUAGGGAAGUGUAAGAUCUUGGGUGGUCAACAAUCACACCCAAUUUUAGCUAACAUGUGGAAGAUUGCGUUUCAUGGGACAAGCAUAAGAAUCGCCGACAUGAGCCGAGACGAAUACAGUUUAUGGAGGCGAUGCAGACGAAUACAGUUGACAUUGUCGACAGGAUGAAGGAGAUCGCCCAGGUGAUGAAAACCCCUGAUGAUGUGCCGCACUAUCAUGGUGUGCCUCCAACAGCAGGCCACGGCGGGGCUUGCAACGUGCCCAAGCCCAGGGCGUGGAACUCCGUGGAUCAGAGAAAAUGGACCUGGUAGCUGGCAUGGGCUCGGGAGCAUGCCAUCGGCAGAGGCAAUGCGCCUGUUUGGGGAAAUAUUAGAGGUAUAACUAAUUACAGGUGGUAUUCCUCAGCCAGUUGUAGAUAUUGAAAUGCAUGUAAGCCAAGGUUUUCUGCGAAAGUAUACCGUUUCUCUGCUUUCCUGAGAUUUCACAAUUCACUUAAUGUCCUUUAGGUUAUUGGUUUAUGGAUGGAUUGUUUACAUGUAUUCUGUUUUGCAAGAAACCAAAGGAAGAGGCAAACAUUGUAUCAGCUUUGACAAAUGGAAAAUCAUCAAUUCCUAAAAACUAUUUCUGACACAAGAUAAAGUUGUUAUUCUGGAAGGUCUCAGUAUUAUCAGUGCUCAUAACGAAUGGACUACUACCCUAAACCAUGUUAUGAGAUGUGUCAUAUGUUCCCUCGCCUCUUCUGAUUUGUAAGUCUACUAUCCUAUGUGUUAACCCUAUUUGCUUUGGUAGCAUUGAUUUGAAUUUUGGUUACUGCAGCGUGGAGCAACUAUAUUGCAAGACAAAAUAUAUAUGUUUGGUGGAAACCACAAUGGCCGUCAUCUUAGUGACCUUCAGGUUUGUGACGCUAAAUUUGAUUAUGUAGCAUGUCAUAUGUAUUCGUCCUACUUUAUUGUUGGCUCGGACAUGAAGGCAUCUGAGCAAAUGUUGUUCCAUUGUGUGUCACUAAAUAAUCCUUAACCAUUUUUUUAAUCAGUACAUGCUGGCUAGAUUAAAGUUUCAAUUUAUUAAUACUCCCUAAGCCGAUUUUUUUGUAAUAUUAGUGCCAUGUGGAAGCAUGUCCUAUAUGCAAAGAUUAUAGCUAGAAACUUAGAUUAUUAUUGCCGAAUUGAGUAUGUUGUCAAGACACAUGGGGAUAACGAUUUUUUUCCCUGAAAUAGUCUGCAAAUUAAUUAUCAUUUUUUUGGUUUAUUCAUUUGGGCCGUAUAAUACUUUAGUAGUACAACAUAGAUUUUUUUGCAUAUGGAGAUGUAAAACCACCAAAUCUGAAUCUGGCUGUGAAUGAGAAGAAAUUAUUUCAUGAAAUCGAGUAGAGUUACACCACACAACUUACCAUUGCACUUGCUAAUAAACUCAGGUCCUACUUUUUUUUGUGGGUCUACUGAAAUUUUAUAACCUCUAGGAGCACGGUUUGGUGCUUCAUGCUCGGGCUGUAGUAGUUAUUCAAGAACUGCCUAUUUUGAAUUGAAAGAGUGUGUGGACACUUCUGGCUCAUUUUGUGUAGUCUUUGAGCUCUCUUUAAAUGUAUCUUAAUAUGGCUUAUAGGAGAGAAACCAUUUAUCCUCCAGUCGAUUGAUUUAGGGUGGUACAUUAUAUAUGCUUUUUGGGUUACUCUUUGGUUACACUGGAAUUUUGUUUGUGCACACAGCACACAUUGUCUGUUCAUAGUGAUGCACUUCUUGUUUUCCAGGCCUUGUAACAUUAGCAGGCCAGUGAACUCUGAGGCGUUGACAAGGCAGAUCUGGCUCUUGGAAAAAAGCUAAACUCUGAGGCGUUGGGGAAGGAGAUUGAGGUCACUUCUCUACAACCAGGGAGAGACAAACACUUGGUGCAGUCAGCAAUCCCUUUCUCUACAACCAGGGAGAGACAAACACUUGGUGUAGUCAGCAAUCGCUCGCUGGAGGCAGAAGAUGGGAUGCAUGCGAUUCACUGUCUGUUUUAAAAAAACAUUCUAAAACCUUCUACAUUGGAUUUCCAAUAUGUGGUGCUUGUGAUUAAUCAUAUACCAAACACACCAUUUUUGAAGAUUACGACUUUUUGCCUUUUCCAUUUUUAUCUGAGAAAAUGUACUAUGCAGAACAAGAGUCAUCUAAAAUAAUCAUAUGGGAGAGAGAUUUUGAAGAAGUGAAUCUUAUUCCA